AUUGAACGCUGGCGGCAGGCCUAACACAUGCAAGUCGAGCGGAUGAAGGGAGCUUGCUCCUGGAUUCAGCGGCGGACGGGUUAGUAAUGCCUAGGAAUCUGCCUGGUAGUGGGGGAUAACGUCCGGAAACGGGCGCUAAUACCGCAUACGUCCUGAGGGAGAAAGUGGGGGAUCUUCGGACCUCACGCUAUCAGAUGAGCCUAGGUCGGAUUAGCUAGUUGGUGGGGUAAAGGCCUACCAAGGCGACGAUCCGUAACUGGUCUGAGAGGAUGAUCAGUCACACUGGAACUGAGACACGGUCCAGUCUCCUACGGGAGGCAGCAGUGGGGAAUAUUGGACAAUGGGCGAAAGCCUGAUCCAGCCAUGCCGCGUGUGUGAAGAAGGUCUUCGGAUUGUAAAGCACUUUAAGUUGGGAGGAAGGGCAGUAAGUUAAUACCUUGCUGUUUUGACGUUACCAACAGAAUAAGCACCGGCUAACUUCGUG
This 484-nucleotide ribosomal RNA is filed under the name uncultured bacterium. Its description in RNAcentral is "partial 16S ribosomal RNA". It matches the Rfam family "Bacterial small subunit ribosomal RNA", at positions 30 to 507 of the family's 1533-position model. The record is from RNAcentral.